Molecule: ribosomal RNA, 496 nt
Filed under: uncultured bacterium
Lineage: Bacteria
Description: partial 16S ribosomal RNA
Rfam family: Bacterial small subunit ribosomal RNA
Source: RNAcentral
GAUGAACGCUGGCGGCGUGCCUAAUACAUGCAGGUCGAGCGAACGGACGAGAAGCUUGCUUCUCUGAUGUUAGCGGCGGACGGGUGAGUAACACGUGGAUAACCUACCUAUAAGACUGGGAUAACUUCGGGAAACCGGAGCUAAUACCGGAUGAUAUUUUGAACCGCAUGGUUCAAAAGUGAAAGACGGUCUUGCUGUCACUUAUAGAUGGAUCCGCGCUGCAUUAGCUAGUUGGUAAGGUAACGGCUUACCAAGGCAACGAUGCAUAGCCGACCUGAGAGGGUGAUCGGCCACACUGGAACUGAGACACGGUCCAGACUCCUACGGGAGGCAGCAGUAGGGAAUCUUCCGCAGUGGGCGAAAGCCUGACGGAGCAACGCCGCGUGAGUGAUGAAGGUCUUCGGAUCGUAAAACUCUGUUAUUAGGGAAGAACAUAUGUGUAAGUAACUGUGCACAUCUUGACGGUACCUAAUCAGAAAGCCACGGCUAACUACGU